This 253-nucleotide ribosomal RNA is filed under the name uncultured bacterium. Its description in RNAcentral is "partial 16S ribosomal RNA". It matches the Rfam family "Bacterial small subunit ribosomal RNA", at positions 524 to 776 of the family's 1533-position model. The record is from RNAcentral.
UACGUAGGGGGCAAGCGUUGUCCGGAAUCAUUGGGCGUAAAGCGCGUGUAGGCGGCUUGGUAAGUCCGCUCUGAAAGCCCGGGGCUCAACCCCGGGAGGCGGGUGGAUACUGGGUAUCUCGAGUCCGAGAGAGGUGAGUGGAAUUCCGAGUGUAGAGGUGAAAUUCGUAGAUAUUCGGAGGAACACCAGUGGCGAAGGCGGCUCACUGGCUCGGUACUGACGCUGAGGUGCGAAAGCGUGGGGAGCAAACAGG